Long non-coding RNA from Brachypodium distachyon (stiff brome), 1230 nucleotides. RefSeq lists it as uncharacterized. Lineage: Eukaryota; Viridiplantae; Streptophyta; Magnoliopsida; Poales; Poaceae. The record is from RefSeq and is a predicted model, not a curated record. The transcript has 3 exons.
ACAGGGUUUUUACUGUACUGCCUGGCAGGUACAGGACAGCGUGUGGAGAUGUCCAUGACUCCGACCCGCAUGGUGGGGCCCCCGUUCUCAUUCAGUUCCUCUGUACGCCAGCGCUGGGGGUUGGGAAAUUAUCGCGAGCGACGCCCCUCCUGGACGGCACCGGAGACAGAGGAGGUGGUUGCGCGACUUCGCGGCGGCAGGGGCUGGCUGAGCCCAAGGCCUGCGGCGCUUACAAGCCUUCAUGGAUGAAGGGAUCUCGACAACUAACGGGUAAGCUGCCUCUCCAGAUCUUUUGGGCCACUGUUGUGUGUGCUGCUGAGUGCCUUUCCGGCCGGCGAAGAUGGUAUACACCCGCUGGUCGAAGCGGUCCGUGAGACCGAGCGGCAGUCUCUCCAUUCGAGCACGGCGGCGACGGCCAUAUAAGAUAGCUGCGACUCGUCAUGGGGAGAAGGAAUUCUGGACCCUCAUGUUGCUCAAAGUGCACCGAGGGGGGGAGGCGCGGGAUCUGAGGUGGCGGACGGGUCCGCAUCAUGGAAGAAAAGCUAAAGACAGGCCAAGGGUAGGUGCUGUUGCUGACGGCAGGGGAGCAUCUCCAGGGAGGGUUACAGCCCUGGAAGAAUCAUUGAAGACAUACGCGGAAACUAGGACUGGAUUGGUCGUGGAGCCAGUGAUUGGCACUAGAUUCGAUUCGUUGGCAGAAGCUUACGAAUUUAAUCUGUUCUCCUGGGAAGUCGGUUUCGGCAUUAGAUACGGCAAGAGCCGUAGCAACUGCUAAGGGUCCAAGUGCAUGCAGGAAAUUGUUUGUGGAUGUGCGGGCAAGCCUAAACCAAAUACGACAUCUUCAAUGUCUAUGUUUCCGGCACUUAUGAGGCUGCUCCGCAGCAGUGAUGAGGCGUGCUACGUGGCAGAGCAUCGUACAGAGCACAACCACGACUUAUCGACGACCUGUGGUGAGAAAUUGCAUUGGCCUUGUCGUACCCGUGGCCCGCGGGAUCCCACCGAUAUGGGACGCGUGGGUCGCAAGUAACGGGUUGAUCAAAUAGUAGAUUCCACAACAGGUUGUAAGUUUUUGUGCUUUUUAGAUGCCUUCUCCGGCUACCAUCAGAUUAAGAUGACAGUCGAAGAUGAAGAGAAAACAACGUUUAUCAUUCCGGUUGGCUGCUACUGUUACACAUGCAUGCCUUCCGGGUUGUAGAACGCAGACUCGACAAUUCAGCGCGCUUUCCACGA